UGGGGAAUAUUGGACAAUGGGCGGAAGCCUGAUCCAGCCAUGCCGCGUGUGUGAAGAAGGCCUUUUGGUUGUAAAGCACUUUAAGCGAGGAGGAGGCUACUUGGAUUAAUACUCUAGGAUAGUGGACGUUACUCGCAGAAUAAGCACCGGCUAACUCUGUGCCAGCAGCCGCGGUAAUACAGAGGGUGCGAGCGUUAAUCGGAUUUACUGGGCGUAAAGCGUGCGUAGGCGGCUUCUUAAGUCGGAUGUGAAAUCCCUGAGCUUAACUUAGGAAUUGCAUUCGAUACUGGGAAGCUAGAGUAUGGGAGAGGAUGGAAGAAUUCCAGGUGUAGCGGUGAAAUGCGUAGAGAUCUGGAGGAAUACCGAUGGCGAAGGCAGCCAUCUGGCCUAAUACUGACGCUGAGGUACGAAAGCAUGGGGAGCAAACAGG
Molecule: ribosomal RNA, 430 nt
Filed under: Bacillota bacterium
Lineage: Bacteria; Bacillati; Bacillota
Description: Firmicutes bacterium partial 16S ribosomal RNA
Rfam family: Bacterial small subunit ribosomal RNA
Source: RNAcentral